RNAcentral lists this ribosomal RNA (586 nucleotides) under Paenibacillus susongensis. RNAcentral describes it as "bacterial SSU rRNA". It matches the Rfam family "Bacterial small subunit ribosomal RNA", at positions 173 to 747 of the family's 1533-position model. The record is from RNAcentral. Lineage: Bacteria; Bacillati; Bacillota; Bacilli; Caryophanales; Paenibacillaceae.
ACAACGAGGUCGCAUGAUCUUGUUGGGAAAAGCGGAGCAAUCUGCUGCUUACAGAUGGGCCUGCGGCGCAUUAGCUAGUUGGUGAGGUAACGGCUCACCAAGGCGACGAUGCGUAGCCGACCUGAGAGGGUGAACGGCCACACUGGGACUGAGACACGGCCCAGACUCCUACGGGAGGCAGCAGUAGGGAAUCUUCCGCAAUGGACGCAAGUCUGACGGAGCAACGCCGCGUGAGUGAUGAAGGUUUUCGGAUCGUAAAGCUCUGUUGCCAGGGAAGAACGCUUGGGAGAGUAACUGCUCUCAAGGUGACGGUACCUGAGAAGAAAGCCCCGGCUAACUACGUGCCAGCAGCCGCGGUAAUACGUAGGGGGCAAGCGUUGUCCGGAAUUAUUGGGCGUAAAGCGCGCGCAGGCGGCUUUGUAAGUCUGGUGUUUAAACCUAGGGCUCAACCCUGGGUCGCAUUGGAAACUGCAAAGGCUUGAGUGCAGAAGAGGAGAGUGGAAAUUCCACGUGUAGCGGUGAAAUGCGUAGAGAUGUGGAGGAACACCAGUGGCGAAAGGCGACUCUCUGGGCUGUAACUGACGCU